Molecule: ribosomal RNA, 437 nt
Filed under: uncultured Paracoccaceae bacterium
Lineage: Bacteria; Pseudomonadati; Pseudomonadota; Alphaproteobacteria; Rhodobacterales; Paracoccaceae
Description: bacterial SSU rRNA
Rfam family: Bacterial small subunit ribosomal RNA
Source: RNAcentral
ACAAGCGGUGGAGCAUGUGGUUAAUUCGAAGCAACGACGCAGAACCUUACCAACCCUUGACAUGGGUAUCGCGGCUCCAGAGAUGGAGCUUUCAGUUCGGCUGGAUACCACACAGGUGCUGCAUGGCUGUCGUCAGCUCGUGUCGUGAGAUGUUCGGUUAAGUCCGGCAACGAGCGCAACCCACACUCUUAGUUGCCAGCAUUCAGUUGGGCACUCUAGGAAAACUGCCGGAUGAUAAGUCGGAGGAAGGUGUGGAUGACGUCAAGUCCUCAUGGCCCUUACGGGUUGGGCUACACACGUGCUACAAUGGCAGUGACAAUGGGUUAAUCCCAAAAAGCUGUCUCAGUCCGGAUUGGGGUCUGCAACUCGACCCCAUGAAGUCGGAAUCGCUAGUAAUCGCGUAACAGCAUGACGCGGUGAAUACGUUCCCGGGCCUU